GAAUAGGAUAGGGCAGAACAUGCUUGAUAAAUCUGAUGCUGUUGCGAAAGUGGCAUUUGAGUCUGUAGGGAGAUUGUUUCAGGAGUUUGAAUCGAAAAGGAUGAGUCGUUUGGCUGGUGAUAAGCUAGUGGAUAGUGAAAAUUCUGUUGCUAUUAGGUCUAAUUGGGUUUCUUCUAUGGUGGAUUUUGUUUGGAGAAGAAGGAAUGCGUUAAUGGCGCGGUCAUUGGUUCUCCCCAUAGAGAAUUUUCGAGCUACAGUUUGUCCGCUUGUGUAUGCUGUAAAGGCAGUAGCUUCGGGUUCGUUAGAGGUGAUCAAGAAGUUAUCGAGGUCUUCCAAGAAUGGGAAUGCAAGUUCAUUAGACACUGUGAAUGUGGAGAAGUUUGUGGGUGUGUCUGAUGUUGUUUCACAUUUGGCACCUUUUCUAGCAUCAUCACUGGAUCCAUCAUUGAUAUUUGAGGUGGGGAUUAACAUGUUAUACUUGGCUGAUGUUCCUGGAGGGAAACCCGAGUGGGCAUCCACAUCCAUCAUUGCAAUUCUCACUCUUUGGGAUAGACAAGAGUUUUCUUCUGCAAGAGAGAGUAUCGUUAGAGCUGUUGUCACCAAUUUGCAUCUUCUUGAUCUCAGUAUGCAGGUUUCUUUAUUUAAUAAGCUGCUUCUUAUGGUGAGAAACCUGAGAGCAGAGUCAGAUCGCAUGCAUGCAUUAGCAUGCAUUUGUCGAACCGCUCUCUGUGUUGAUCUUUUUGCAAAAGAGAGUGUUAGAAGAGGGCAAAAACCUGUUCCUGGAACCGAUAUUGCUUCACUUUUUGAGAAUGCAAGAAUAAAAGAGGACCUCCAUAGUGUAACAAGUAAAACCUUGUUUAGAGAAGAACUAGUUGCAAUGCUGGUGGAGAGCUGCUUUCAGUUAUCACUGCCACUUCCUGAACAAAAAAAUUCAGGUAUGGAGAGCAGAGUUAUUGGAGCUUUAGCAUAUGGAACUGGUUAUGGUGCAUUAAACUGGACAGAACCAGCUUUGGAAGUGGUGGAAGUUUGUAGACCAUGUGUCAAAUGGGAUUGUGAAGGUCGAACAUAUGCUAUUGACUGCUAUUUGAAGUUGCUUGUCAGGCUUUGUCACAUUUAUGAUACAAGAGGAGGUGUGAAAAGAGUCAAAGAUGGGGCUUCUCAGGACCAGAUUCUGAAUGAAACGCGGUUGCAGAAUUUGCAAAGGGAUCUUGUCAAAGAUCUACGUGAGGUGAACACUCCUAGAAUAUGUACUCGACUUAUUUGGGCUAUCUCAGAGCAUAUUGAUCUAGAAGGUUUGGAUCCACUUCUGGCUGAUGAUCCAGAAGAUCCCCUGAAUAUAAUAAUAUCAAAUAUCCACAAAGUUCUCUUCAAUAUAGAUUCGUCUGCCAGCAGCACAAAUCGCCUUCAAGAUGUUCAAGCAGUUCUUCUGUGUGCUCAGAGGUUGGGAUCACGUAAUCCCAGGGCAGGGCAAUUGCUAAUAAAAGAACUUGAAGAGUUUAGGACCAAUGCAUUAGCUGACUCAGUGAACAAACAUCAGUGUCGGUUAAUACUGCAGAGGAUCAAAUAUGUCACCAACCACUCGGAAAGCAAGUGGGCUGGGGUUGGUGAAGCAAGAGGAGAUUAUCCAUUUAGCCAUCACAAGUUAACAGUUCAGUUUUAUGACGCAUCUGCUGCUCAGGACCGAAAACUGGAAGGAUUGGUGCACAAGGCUAUUUUAGAGCUUUGG
This 1726-nucleotide unclassified non-coding RNA is filed under the name Hevea brasiliensis (rubber tree). The record is from RNAcentral. Lineage: Eukaryota; Viridiplantae; Streptophyta; Magnoliopsida; Malpighiales; Euphorbiaceae.